Molecule: ribosomal RNA, 343 nt
Filed under: Amantis reticulata
Lineage: Eukaryota; Metazoa; Arthropoda; Insecta; Mantodea; Gonypetidae
Description: partial 16S ribosomal RNA
Source: RNAcentral
GGCCGCAGUAUUUUGACUGUGCAAAGGUAGCAUAAUCAUUAGUCUUUUAAUUGAAGGCUGGUAUGAAUGGUUGAACGAGGUAAAUUCUGUUUUAUAUUGAUUAUUUGAAUUUAGAUUUUGAGUAAAAAUACUCAAAUAAUAUUAAGGGACGAGAAGACCCUAUAGAGUUUAAUAUUUAAAGUUUUAAUUAAGUUAAUUUUUAAUUUUUGAUUAUUAUGAUAUUUAUUUAAUUGGGGUGAUUAAAAGAUAAAUGAAACUCUUUUUUGAAAUUAAUAAUUUUAUUAAUUUAUUGAUCCAUAAAUUAUGAUUAUAAGAUUAAAUUACCUUAGGGAUAACAGCAUAA